CAGGACGAACGCUGGCGGCGUGCCUAAUACAUGCAAGUCGAACGGUCUUUCUAUGGAAGCUUGCUUCCACUGAGAAGAUAGUGGCGAACGGGUGAGUAACACGUGGGUAACCUGCCCAUAAGAGGGGGAUAACAUCCGGAAACGGGUGCUAAUACCGCAUAGCUUUCUUGAUCGCAUGAUUGAGAAAGGAAAGACGGCCUUUGUGCUGUCGCUUAUGGAUGGACCCGCGGCGUAUUAGUUAGUUGGUGAGGUAACGGCUCACCAAGACGAUGAUACGUAGCCGACCUGAGAGGGUGAUCGGCCACAUUGGGACUGAGACACGGCCCAAACUCCUACGGGAGGCAGCAGUAGGGAAUCUUCCGCAAUGGACGAAAGUCUGACGGAGCAACGCCGCGUGAGUGAAAGAAGGUUUUCGGAUCGUAAAACUCUGUUGUCAGAGAAGAACAAGUUGGAGAGUAACUGCUCCAGCCUUGACGGUAUCUGACCAGAAAGUCACGGCUAACUACGUGCCAGCCGCCGC
This 520-nucleotide ribosomal RNA is filed under the name uncultured bacterium. Its description in RNAcentral is "bacterial SSU rRNA". It matches the Rfam family "Bacterial small subunit ribosomal RNA", at positions 25 to 518 of the family's 1533-position model. The record is from RNAcentral.